AGCGAACGCUGGCGGCGUGCCUAACACAUGCAAGUCGAACGUGAAAAGGGGCAACCCUGAGUAAAGUGGCGUACGGGUGAGUAACGCGUAGGUAAUCUACCCCAGAGUCUGGAAUAACCGGCCGAAAGGCUGGCUAAUACUGGAUAGAGCGACGGAAUCCGUAAUUGGGUUUUUCGGGAAAGGGAGGAGCAAUCCCCUUCGCUUUGGGAUGAGCCUGCGUCUCAUUAGCUAGUUGGCGGGGUAAUGGCCCACCAAGGCUUUGAUGGGUAGCUGGUCUGAGAGGAUGAUCAGCCACACUGGAACUGAAACACGGUCCAGACUCCUACGGGAGGCAGCAGUGGGAAUCUUGCGCAAUGGACGAAAGUCUGACGCAGCCACGCCGCGUGAGUGAAGAAGGCCUGG
RNAcentral lists this ribosomal RNA (402 nucleotides) under uncultured bacterium. Its description in RNAcentral is "bacterial SSU rRNA". It matches the Rfam family "Bacterial small subunit ribosomal RNA", at positions 29 to 419 of the family's 1533-position model. The record is from RNAcentral.